AGAUUUUAUAAACAAUCGAAUCCUAAUUGCGGGUUGUUACAUAUAUAUUAAAGCAUUAAUUAGGAUAUUAAAAGGAAAAAAAAAAAAAUCUUCAUGUUUACAAGGAUGUAUAUAUCCUCUAUGUAUAUUGUGGAUUGAGUAUACAUCCUUUCAGAUGUCUACAUACAAAUAAAGAAAUAAUAUUAUAUGUAUGUAUUUAAUUAAUUUCUAGAAAAAUACAUAUACAGAGAUUGUAGAAUAAUAUACACCAAAAUCAGUUGAUGAUAUACUUUAAUACAUGAAUUUAGUUAUUAAUUAAUUGUAGAAAUGGUUACUAUUGGUUGAUGAUUUAUGGUUUAAUACGGUGAAGAUAGGAUACAAUAUAUAUGUACAAAAGAUUUCUAUAAUACACUUCC
This 395-nucleotide long non-coding RNA is filed under the name Carica papaya (papaya). Its description in RNAcentral is "long non-coding RNA (CPAP_LNC001454)". The record is from RNAcentral. Lineage: Eukaryota; Viridiplantae; Streptophyta; Magnoliopsida; Brassicales; Caricaceae.